This 815-nucleotide long non-coding RNA is filed under the name Homo sapiens (human). RNAcentral describes it as "HSALNT0187273". The record is from RNAcentral. Lineage: Eukaryota; Metazoa; Chordata; Mammalia; Primates; Hominidae.
GUCUCCAUAAAAACCCAAAAGGACAGGGUUUGAAGAGCUUCCAAAUAGCUGAACGCAUGGAGGUUCCUGGAGGGUGGUGUGCACUGGGAGGGCAUCGAACCACUGCACCCCUGCCCAUACCUUGCCCCACGCAUCUCUUCAUCUCUAUGGAACCCAUUCUUCAAAGAAGUCGUACUCAGAAGUCUGAUACAUUAAACAUGUAAAAGCCAAGCUGCUCUGCCUGAAGCGAUGUGGGGAGCCUGGAGUCCUGCUGAGGAAGGAACACUUUUAGAUUGGAAAGAUUUUGAUCAUCUCAAAAGUCUUGGAUAUAAAAAUUCAGUCUGUGUGGCAGGGAACAGCUCACUCCUGACUGGUUGAAGAUAGGAGGUUGAAGAAAUAAAUGAACUUGAAGCAGACUUGAAGUUUCAUGCCUGAGAUCCUAAAGUAAGAUAAUGUUUGUAAGGCUGAUUGCUAAUCAAGAUGCCUUAUUUCUCAGAUUUUUUUAAUCUGAAUUAUUCCUUCCUCAACCAACAUCCCGAUUUAGGAGCUGUUAUAAGUCAUCACUCAAGAUAAGGAUUUAAAAGGACUGGAUUGCAAAUGCAGCCAGCAAAGCUUAGAAGCCUAAAGGGGUGGGAAAAUGAACUCCCCAAUAUGGGAAAUAAAUGGCAGUUCUGAUGAUUGGCAAAGCGGUCUGGCUUCUUCCAGAAAUAUUUAUAAAGGCAUAAAUUAAUGGCAUUCCAGUUUCUCAAGGAGAAUGAAAAUAAAAAUCCCCAAACAUUCUAAUUUCUCUAAGAGAAUAUAAACAUAAAAGCAAGAGGGUCCUAACAGUGUCGCUC